Molecule: ribosomal RNA, 422 nt
Filed under: uncultured bacterium
Lineage: Bacteria
Description: bacterial SSU rRNA
Rfam family: Bacterial small subunit ribosomal RNA
Source: RNAcentral
GAAUUUUGGACAAUGGGGGCAACCCUGAUCCAGCCAUCCCGCGUGUGCGAUGAAGGCCUUCGGGUUGUAAAGCACUUUUGGCAGGGAAGAAAGGGCUCUGGCUAAUACCUGGAGCUGCUGACGGUACCUGCAGAAUAAGCACCGGCUAACCCCGUGCCAGCAGCCGCGGUACUACGUAGGGUGCAAGCGUUAAUCGGAAUUACUGGGCGUAAAGCGUGCGCAGGCGGUUCGGCAAGAAGGAUGUGAAAUCCCAGGGCUUAACCUUGGAACUGCAUUCUUAACUGCCGGGCUAGAGUAUGUCAGAGGGGGGUAGAAUUCCGCGUGUAGCAGUGAAAUGCGUAGAUAUACGGAUGAAUACCUAUGUCGAAUGCAUCCCCCUGGGAUAAUACUGACGCUCAUGCACGAAAGCGUGGGGAGCAAAC